This 469-nucleotide ribosomal RNA is filed under the name uncultured bacterium. RNAcentral's name for it is "partial 16S ribosomal RNA". It matches the Rfam family "Bacterial small subunit ribosomal RNA", at positions 27 to 507 of the family's 1533-position model. The record is from RNAcentral.
GGACGAACGCUGGCGGCGUGCUUAACACAUGCAAGUCGAACGGAAAGGCCCUGCUUUUGUGGGGUGCUCGAGUGGCGAACGGGUGGGUAACACGUGAGUAACCUGCCCUUGACUUUGGGAUAACUUCAGGAAACUGGGGCUAAUACCGGAUAGGAGCUCCUGCUGCAUGGUGGGGGUUGGAAAGUUUCGGCGGUUGGGGAUGGACUCGCGGCUUAUCAGCUUGUUGGUGGGGUAGUGGCUUACCAAGGCUUUGACGGGUAGCCGGCCUGAGAGGGUGACCGGCCACAUUGGGACUGAGAUACGGCCCAGACUCCUACGGGAGGCAGCAGUGGGGAAUAUUGCACAAUGGGCGGAAGCCUGAUGCAGCAACGCCGCGUGCGGGAUGACGGCCUUCGGGUUGUAAACCGCUUUCGCCUGUGACGAAGCGUGAGUGACGGUAAUGGGUAAAGAAGCACCGGCUAACUACGUG